Molecule: ribosomal RNA, 465 nt
Filed under: uncultured bacterium
Lineage: Bacteria
Description: partial 16S ribosomal RNA
Rfam family: Bacterial small subunit ribosomal RNA
Source: RNAcentral
CCUACGGGUGGCAGCAGUGGGGAAUUUUGGACAAUGGGCGCAAGCCUGAUCCAGCUAUUCCGCGUGUGGGAUGACGGCCCUCGGGUUGUAAACCACUUUAGUAGAGAACGAAAAGGAGCUAUCGAAUAAAUAGCUCUGCUGACGGUACUCUAAGAAUAAGCACCGGCUAACUCCGUGCCAGCAGCCGCGGUAAUACGUAGGGUGCGAGCGUUAAUCGGAAUUACUGGGCGUAAAGGGUGUGCAGGAGGCUGAUUAAGCCAGAUGUGAAAGCCCCGGGCUUAACCUGGGAACCGCAUAUGUGACUGGUUGGCUAGAGUGCGGCAGAGGGAGGUGGAAUUCGACGUGUAGCAGUGAAAUGCGUAGAUAUGUGGAAGAAAACCGAUGGCGAAGGCGGCAAUCUGGCUGGAAACUGACGCUGAGGUGCGAAAGCGUGGGUAGCAAACAGGAUUAGAUACCCGUGUAGUC